This 780-nucleotide ribosomal RNA is filed under the name Triticum aestivum (bread wheat). Its description in RNAcentral is "partial small subunit ribosomal RNA". Lineage: Eukaryota; Viridiplantae; Streptophyta; Magnoliopsida; Poales; Poaceae. The record is from RNAcentral.
AUGAGCAAGCUUGAUGGUUUCUUCUGUAACGAAGAGUGGGAUGUCGUUUUCCCUACUCACAUUCUCCAAGCCCUAUCAUCUUCGCUCUUGGAUCACUGCCCUCUCUUGCUUGCCAAUGCAUCUGGACCGAAGAGACCCAAAUCAUUUCGUUUCGAGAACCACUGGAUCAAGAUGCCUGGGUUCCAACAGGUUGUUAGUGACUCCUGGAAUGAGGAUUCCCCCCAUGGUGAGCCCUAUCAACGGCUUUUCCAUAAGCUUAAGAGAACUAGUAGGAGGCUGCGUUCUUGGAGCAAACAAUUGUUCGCUGCUUCUAGAAUUCAACUCCAUAUGGCCCUGGAAAUCAUCCUACACCUAGAUAUGGCACAAGAACGUAGAGAACUUUCUCCCGAUGAGAGGGACCUCAGAAAGAGACUAAAGAGGAAGGUCAUUGGCUUGGCGGUCCUGGAGAAGGCUAGAAAGCGUCAAAAUUCCAGAGUUACCAAUCUUAAGGUAGGAGAUGCCAACACUCGCUACUUCCAUCUCCGUGUCAACCACAGAAGGAGGAAGAACUUCAUACAACGCCUGAAAAACAAUAACGGUUGGGCUACAGAACAUGCUCACAAAGAGGACAUCGUGCACCGACACUUCAAAAACAUUGCCAAAAAGCCCCCCUCGCGUAACAUAGACUUCAAUUGGGGGCUUCUGCAUACCCCUGAUUGUGAUCUUCAUGAGUUGGACAACGCCAUCACAGAGGAGGAGGUGAAGGCUGCUGUGUUCUCCAUGCGAGGAGACAAAGCCCCU